RNAcentral lists this ribosomal RNA (253 nucleotides) under uncultured bacterium. RNAcentral describes it as "partial 16S ribosomal RNA". It matches the Rfam family "Bacterial small subunit ribosomal RNA", at positions 524 to 776 of the family's 1533-position model. The record is from RNAcentral.
UACGUAGGUGACCAGCGUUGUCCGGAUUUACUGGGCGUAAAGAGCGCGCAGGCGGUCGUUCAAGUCGAGUGUGAAAGCCCCCGGCUCAACUGGGGAGGGUCAUUCGAUACUGAUCGACUGGAAGGCAGGAGAGGGAAGCGGAAUUCCCGGUGUAGUGGUGAAAUGCGUAGAUAUCGGGAGGAACACCAGUGGCGAAGGCGGCUUCCUGGCCUGUUCUUGACGCUGAGGCGCGAGAGCUAGGGGAGCAAACGGG